Molecule: ribosomal RNA, 497 nt
Filed under: uncultured bacterium
Lineage: Bacteria
Description: partial 16S ribosomal RNA
Rfam family: Bacterial small subunit ribosomal RNA
Source: RNAcentral
GAUGAACGCUGGCGGCGUGCCUAAUACAUGCAAGUCGAGCGAACAGACGAGGAGCUUGCUCCUCUGACGUUAGCGGCGGACGGGUGAGUAACACGUGGAUAACCUACCUAUAAUACUGGGAUAACUUCGGGAAACCGGAGCUAAUACCGGAUAAUAUAUUGAACCGCAUGGUUCAAUAGUGAAAGACGGUUUUGCUGUCACUUAUAGAUGGAUCCGCGCCGCAUUAGCUAGUUGGUAAGUUAACGGCUUACCAAGGCAACGAUGCGUAGCCGACCUGAGAGGGUGAUCGGCCACACUGGAACUGAGACACGGUCCAGACUACUACGGGAGGCAGCAGUAGGGAAUCUUCCGCAAUGGGCGAAAGCUUGACGGAGCAACGCCGAGUGAGUGAUGAAGGUCUUCGGAUCGUAAAACUCUGUUAUUAGGGAAGAACAAAUGUGUAAGUAACUAUGCACGUCUUGACGGUACCUAAUCAGAAAGCCACGGCUAACUACGUG